GACACUACAAGUUUGAUCCAAGGAACUGAAAAUAUUUUCAAUAGAUAAUAAUCUCUAAGUUGCUCAUCAAAAUGUAAGUGGAUUUUAGUACAUCUUUUUUUUUCUUUUUUUUUGGUGUGUGGCAGCUCGUGUUGUGAGCUAUGUUCUCAUUGAUAGAAACACGUACAUGGUACAAAAAUAAAUUAGCAGAAAUUGAAAUGAAAGGUAGAGGUAAUGAUGGAGUAAACGUGAUAAGAUAUGACAUGACCCCACGAAGAAGAAGAACAAAUGAAAGUUAUAUAUAAAAUCUAAGAGGAAAAAGUACCUAAUAAUAGAA
Molecule: long non-coding RNA, 316 nt
Filed under: Capsella rubella
Lineage: Eukaryota; Viridiplantae; Streptophyta; Magnoliopsida; Brassicales; Brassicaceae
Description: long non-coding RNA (CRUB_LNC004651)
Source: RNAcentral